GCGAAUUCAGAGCUGUGGUGAUGGACAAACGAAGGGAGGUGGGGAUGAUGAUGAUGGUGGUGAUGCGGAUUGUUUUCGCUCUGAUGAGAGACAACUGGAGGAGGCGGAGGAUACCGUGGUCCCCCUAUAUGGGAGCUGUGAUAGGGCGGCGGAUUUUCACCGUAAAAGGGAGGCGGCGGCGGAUUUUCACCGUAAAAGGGAGGCGGUGGUGCAUCUUCCCCGUAAAAGGGAGGCGGGUAUGGCCGCGGUGGAGGCGGUGGCGCAUCUUCCCCGUAAAAGGGAGGCGGAUAUGGCCGCGGUGGAGGCGGUGGAGCAUCUUCCCCAUAAAAAGGAGGGGGGUGUGGUCGCGGUGGUGGGGGUGGCGGGUAAUCUUCUUCUUCCCUAUCUGGACCAUGGUGUGAAUGGCGAUAGCCAUGGGGGCGUUCCAUUUCGACUUCCUAUCUGCAAAGAUUGGGGCUUUCUAGGUUUAUGAAGCGUUGUUAU
RNAcentral lists this long non-coding RNA (483 nucleotides) under Olea europaea (common olive). RNAcentral's name for it is "long non-coding RNA (OEUR_LNC003132)". Lineage: Eukaryota; Viridiplantae; Streptophyta; Magnoliopsida; Lamiales; Oleaceae. The record is from RNAcentral.